Molecule: ribosomal RNA, 467 nt
Filed under: uncultured bacterium
Lineage: Bacteria
Description: partial 16S ribosomal RNA
Rfam family: Bacterial small subunit ribosomal RNA
Source: RNAcentral
GACGAACGCUGGCGGCGUGCUUAACACAUGCAAGUCGAACGAUGACGACCGAGCCUGCUCGGUCUGAUUAGUGGCGAACGGGUGAGUAACACGUGAGCAACCUGCCCUUCACUCUGGGAUAACCUCGGGAAAUCGGGGCUAAUACCGGAUAUGAGCUCCUGUCGCAUGGCGGGGGUUGGAAAGUUUUUCGGUGAGGGAUGGGCUCGCGGCCUAUCAGUUUGUUGGGGGGGGAGUGGCUCACCAAGGGGAUGACGGGUAGCCGGCCUGAGAGGGGGACCGGCCACACUGGGACUGAGACACGGCCCAGACUCCUACGGGAGGCAGCAGUGGGGAAUAUUGCACAAUGGGCGAAAGCCUGAUGCAGCGACGCCGCGUGAGGGAUGACGGCCUUCGGGUUGUAAACCUCUUUCAGCAGGGAAGAAGCGAAAGUGACGGUAACUGCAGAAGAAGCGCCGGCUAACUACGUG